GGAGAGAUGGCCGAGUGGCUGAAGGCGCUCGCCUGCUAAGCGAGUAUAGGGCAAAACUCUAUCGUGGGUUCGAAUCCCACUCUCUCCG
RNAcentral lists this transfer RNA (88 nucleotides) under Calditrichota bacterium. RNAcentral describes it as "Calditrichaeota bacterium (activated sludge metagenome) tRNA-Ser". It matches the Rfam family "tRNA". Rfam says of the family: Transfer RNA (tRNA) molecules are approximately 80 nucleotides in length. Their secondary structure includes four short double-helical elements and three loops (D, anti-codon, and T loops). The record is from RNAcentral. Lineage: Bacteria; Pseudomonadati; Calditrichota. RNAcentral also lists the same sequence under 1 other name.